Molecule: ribosomal RNA, 497 nt
Filed under: uncultured bacterium
Lineage: Bacteria
Description: partial 16S ribosomal RNA
Rfam family: Bacterial small subunit ribosomal RNA
Source: RNAcentral
GAUGAACGCUGGCGGCGUGCCUAAUACAUGCAAGUCGAGCGAACAGACGAGGAGCUUGCUCCUCUGACGUUAGCGGCGGACGGGUGAGUAACACGUGGAUAACCUACCUAUAAGACUGGGAUAACUUCGGGAAACCGGAGCUAAUACCGGAUAAUAUAUUGAACCGCAUGGUUCAAUAGUGAAAGACGGUUUUGCUGUCACUUAUAGAUGGAUCCGCGCCGCAUUAGCUAGUUGGUAAGGUAACGGCUUACCAAGGCAACGAUGCGUAGCCGACCGGAGAGGGUGAUCGGCCACACGGGAACUGAGACACGGUCCAGACUCCUACGGGAGGCAGCAGUAGGGAAUCUGCCGCAAUGGGCGAAAGCCUGACGGAGCAACGCCGCGUGAGUGAUGAAGGUCUUCGGAUCGUAAAACUCUGUUAUUAGGGAAGAACAAAUGUGUAAGUAACUAUGCACGUCUUGACGGUACCUAAUCAGAAAGCCACGGCUAACUACGUG